GCUGGCGGCACGCCUAACACAUGCAAGUCGAACGAAGUAGCAAUACUUAGUGGCAGACGGGUGAGUAACAUGUAGGUAUCUACCCUUUGGCCUGGAAUAACACGAGGAAACUUGUGCUAAUACCGGAUAAGUCUUUACGGAGAAAGCUUUAUGCACCAUUGGAUGAGCCUGCACUUGAUUAGUUUGUUGGUGGGGUAAUGGCCUACCAAGACUGUGAUCAAUAGCUGAUUUGAGAGGAUGAUCAGCCACAUUGGGACUGAGACACGGCCCAAACUCCUACGGGAGGCAGCAGUGGGGAAUCUUGCACAAUGGAGGAAACUCUGAUGCAGCGAUGCCGCAUGAGUGAAGAAGGCCUUUGGGUUGUAAAGCUCUUUCGUCGGGGAAGAAAAUGACUGUACCCGAAUAAGAAGGUCCGGCUAACUUCGUGCCAGCAGCCGCGGUAAUACGAAGGGACCUAGCGUAGUUCGGAAUUACUGGGCUUAAAGAGUUCGUAGGUGGUUGAAAAAGUUAGUGGUGAAAUCCCAGAGCUUAACUCUGGAACUGCCAUUAAAACUUUUCAGCUAGAGUAUGAUAGAGGAAAGCAGAAUUUCUAGUGUAGAGGUGAAAUUCGUAGAUAUUAGAAAGAAUACCAAUUGCGAAGGCAGCUUUCUGGAUCAUUACUGACACUGAGGAACGAAAGCAUGGGUAGCGAAGAGGAUUAGAUACCCUCGUAGUCCAUGCCGUAAACGAUGUGUGUUAGACGU
This 743-nucleotide ribosomal RNA is filed under the name uncultured Pseudomonadota bacterium. RNAcentral describes it as "bacterial SSU rRNA". It matches the Rfam family "Bacterial small subunit ribosomal RNA", at positions 35 to 823 of the family's 1533-position model. The record is from RNAcentral. Lineage: Bacteria; Pseudomonadati; Pseudomonadota.